UACGGAGGUGGCAAGCGUUGCUCGGAAUCACUGGGCGUAAAGGGCGCGUAGGCGGGGAGGUAAGUCGGGUGUGAAAUCCCUCGGCCCAACCGAGGAACUGCGCCCGAGACUGCUUCUCUUGAGUCCCGGAGAGGAAGAUGGAAUUCCCGGUGUAGCGGUGAAAUGUGUAGAGAUCGGGAGGAACACCGGUGGCGAAGGCGGUCUUCUGGACGGUGACUGACGCUGAGGCGCGAAAGCUAGGGGAGCAAACGGG
Molecule: ribosomal RNA, 253 nt
Filed under: uncultured bacterium
Lineage: Bacteria
Description: partial 16S ribosomal RNA
Rfam family: Bacterial small subunit ribosomal RNA
Source: RNAcentral